UACGAAGGGGGCUAGCGUUGUCCGGAAUUAUUGGGCGUAAAGAGCUCGUAGGCGGUCAGUCGCGUCUGCUGUGAAAACUCGGGGCUUAACUCCGGGCCUGCAGUGGGUACGGGCUGACUAGAGUGCGGUAGGGGAGACUGGAAUUCCUGGUGUAGCGGUGAAAUGCGCAGAUAUCAGGAGGAACACCGGUGGCGAAGGCGGGUCUCUGGGCCGUAACUGACGCUGAGGAGCGAAAGCGUGGGGAGCGAACAGG
This 253-nucleotide ribosomal RNA is filed under the name uncultured bacterium. RNAcentral describes it as "partial 16S ribosomal RNA". It matches the Rfam family "Bacterial small subunit ribosomal RNA", at positions 524 to 776 of the family's 1533-position model. The record is from RNAcentral.